CAAGAUAAUGUGUUUAUUCAGAGGACAUCUGCAGGAGAAAGUGGAAGAAUCUCAGGGACACAUACAACAAGGAGAAGAGGAUGGAGAAGGAGAAGAGGAGUGGGUCUGCAGCAGGAUCAGGGAGGAGAUGGAAGUUCUUCGCGGUCAUGGGGUUUCUGGACCCCUUCCUCACCCCACAGGAGACUAACAGCAAUAUGGUGGGGACCGUGGAGAACAUCCCCCCCCCGAGGACCAGGGACAGCCCGAAGAGGCAGCAGGGGAGUGUCAGUCAGAAGCUGUGACGGAGGGCGGUGGAAGGAGAUCGGACUACCACAUCAACGACGAUACACUCAUAGAAUCCAGAAGGUAAACAGACCGUCCUCAUUCCCAACACUGAUGCCUGUCCACAUGAGGAGGCAGGAAGGGUGGAUGUCGAGGUGGUGUAACCACCAAGCUGUUGUGUUUAAGGUUAAAUACGCCCAUCAUAUGCUGCUGCAUCAGUGUGAGUCCUCAUUCUGCAGAUAAUAACACAGAGUCACAUUAAUGGUCUCUGUGUGCGCGAGCAGGAGGUGCAACAGGCCCGAUCAUGUGUCCCUUCAAAAUAAAAGUAUCAUUCUGUCCACUGAUGUGAGGUCAGACGGCGACCUCAGUGUGUUACCAAAUGUUAUAUUAGUGUCUGUCUCUCUCAUAUAACCGUGUCUGUGUUCGACAUUAGGCUGGACAGAAAAAGGCUUCAGCUUCCUGCACACACACACACACACACACACACACACACUCCAGAUGUUGGGGAAUAAGAGACACUUAAAGAGCUGGUGAGUUACGUACAUCCGAAUAUUUCUCUCACACACCGAGUUCAACACAGAGGCAGCCAACUGGGCGGCCGAGCAUGACGAGAACAGAGAGAGAGAGUGAAGAAAGUGAGAGCGCUCACUCCUCGCUCCUCGCAGCAGCAGCGCCGCUCUCAUCUGUUCAAACAGCAAACACACAGGAACAGCUGAAGGACACUGCAGAUGUGGAGUAUGUGUUCUUAAAGUUGGGUGAAAAUACAGUUCAGGUUAAAAACACAGACGAACG
This 1053-nucleotide long non-coding RNA is filed under the name Oreochromis niloticus (Nile tilapia). RNAcentral describes it as "lncRNA (ENSONIG00000036351.1)". The record is from RNAcentral. Lineage: Eukaryota; Metazoa; Chordata; Actinopteri; Cichliformes; Cichlidae.